GACGAACCGUGCGAACGUUGUUCGGAAUCACUGGGCUUAAAGGGCGCGUAGGCGGGUUCGAAAGUCUGUGGUGAAAGCCUCCAGCUUAACUGGAGAAGUGCCAUGGAUACUGCGAACCUGGAGGAGGGUAGGGGCAUCUGGAACGCUGGGUGGAGCGGUGAAAUGCGUUGAUAUCGGAAGGAACGCCGGUGGCGAAAGCGACGUACUGGACCUCUUCUGACGCUGAGGCGCGAAAGCUAGGGGAGCAAACGGG
Molecule: ribosomal RNA, 253 nt
Filed under: uncultured bacterium
Lineage: Bacteria
Description: partial 16S ribosomal RNA
Rfam family: Bacterial small subunit ribosomal RNA
Source: RNAcentral